GCCUUCUUGGCUCAGAUGGCAGAGCGUCUGCCUAGUAGGCCUUACGUAAGGGUUGCGAAAGCAGAAGGUCGAGAGUUCGAUUCUCUCAGAAGGCA
This is a non-coding RNA of Borealophlyctis nickersoniae, 95 nucleotides long. The record is from the annotation of a GenBank genome assembly. Lineage: Eukaryota; Fungi; Chytridiomycota; Chytridiomycetes; Rhizophlyctidales; Borealophlyctidaceae.